Mycobacterium ulcerans str. Harvey is the source of this 58-nucleotide non-coding RNA. The record is from Rfam. Lineage: Bacteria; Bacillati; Actinomycetota; Actinomycetes; Mycobacteriales; Mycobacteriaceae.
UGGAAAGCCCCGUGUUGUGGUCUGACCCCCGACCCCGACCGCAACGCGGGGCAAUCCG